GGCCUGAUAGCCAAGUGGUAAGGCAGGAGUCUGCAAAACUCCUAUCGCGGGUUCGAUUCCCGCUCAGGCCUCAA
RNAcentral lists this transfer RNA (74 nucleotides) under Candidatus Falkowbacteria bacterium CG10_big_fil_rev_8_21_14_0_10_43_11. RNAcentral describes it as "tRNA-Cys". It matches the Rfam family "tRNA". Rfam says of the family: Transfer RNA (tRNA) molecules are approximately 80 nucleotides in length. RNAcentral also lists the same sequence under 1 other name. The record is from RNAcentral. Lineage: Bacteria; Candidatus Falkowiibacteriota.